AUUAGAUACCCAGGUAGUCCUAGCCGUAAACGUUGGGUGCUAGGUGUGGGCGGACAUCGACCCCGUCCGUGCCGAAGCUAACGCAUUAAGCACCCCGCCUGGGGAGUACGGCCGCAAGGCUAAAACUCAAAGGAAUUGACGGGGCCCCGCACAAGCGGCGGAGCAUGUUGCUUAAUUCGAUGCAACGCGAAGAACCUUACCUGGGCUUGACAUGCAGGGUGAAACCCGUGAAAGCGGGCGCUCUUCGGAGCCUGCACAGGUGGUGCAUGGCUGUCGUCAGCUCGUGCCGUGAGGUGUUGCCUUAAGUGGCGCAACGAGCGCAACCCCUGUCCUUAGUUGCCAGCGGAUCAUGCCGGGAACUCUAGGGAGACUGCCGGUGCCAAACCGGAGGAAGGUGGGGAUGACGUCAAGUCAUCAUGCCCCUUACGUCCAGGGCUGCAAACAUGCUACAAUGCUCGGUACAAAGGGUUGCGAUCCCGGCAAGGGGGAGCGAAUCCCAAAAAGCCGGGCUCAGUUCGGAUCGGGGUCUGCAACCC
This 536-nucleotide ribosomal RNA is filed under the name uncultured Actinomycetes bacterium. Its description in RNAcentral is "bacterial SSU rRNA". It matches the Rfam family "Bacterial small subunit ribosomal RNA", at positions 777 to 1313 of the family's 1533-position model. The record is from RNAcentral. Lineage: Bacteria; Bacillati; Actinomycetota; Actinomycetes.